Molecule: ribosomal RNA, 253 nt
Filed under: uncultured bacterium
Lineage: Bacteria
Description: partial 16S ribosomal RNA
Rfam family: Bacterial small subunit ribosomal RNA
Source: RNAcentral
UACGGAGGGUCCAAGCGUUAUCCGGAAUCAUUGGGUUUAAAGGGUCCGUAGGCGGUCUAAUAAGUCAGUGGUGAAAGCCCAUCGCUCAACGAUGGAACGGCCAUUGAUACUGUUAGACUUGAAUUAUUGGGAAGUAACUAGAAUAUGUAGUGUAGCGGUGAAAUGCUUAGAUAUUACAUGGAAUACCAAUUGCGAAGGCAGGUUACUAUCAAUAUAUUGACGCUGAUGGACGAAAGCGUGGGGAGCGAACAGG